This 73-nucleotide transfer RNA is filed under the name Stegodyphus mimosarum. It matches the Rfam family "tRNA". From Rfam's summary of the family: Transfer RNA (tRNA) molecules are approximately 80 nucleotides in length. Their secondary structure includes four short double-helical elements and three loops (D, anti-codon, and T loops). The record is from Rfam by way of RNAcentral. Lineage: Eukaryota; Metazoa; Arthropoda; Arachnida; Araneae; Eresidae.
ACCUUCGUGGUGUAGUGGUCAGCACGCUCGACGCGAAACCGAGAGGUCCGUGGUUCGAUUCCCGGCGAAGGCG